RNAcentral lists this ribosomal RNA (331 nucleotides) under uncultured eukaryote. RNAcentral describes it as "partial 18S ribosomal RNA". It matches the Rfam family "Eukaryotic small subunit ribosomal RNA", at positions 1470 to 1796 of the family's 1831-position model. The record is from RNAcentral.
CCCUUAGAUGUUCUGGGCCGCACGCGCGCUACACUGUUCGACGCAGCGAGUCUUAACCUUGACCGAAAGGUUUGGGUAAUCUUCAGCAAAGUCGAACGUGAUGGGGAUCGAUCAUUGCAAUUAUUGAUCGUGAACGAGGAAUUCCUAGUAAGUGCAAGUCAUCAGCUUGCGCUGAUUACGUCCCUGCCCUUUGUACACACCGCCCGUCGCUACUACCGAUUGAAUGGUUUAGUGAGAUCUUUGGAUUGGCGCUGUGGGGGUGGCAACGCUCCUUCAGAUUGCUGAGAAAUUGCUCAAACUUGAUCAUUUAGAGGAAGUAAAAGUCGUAACA